CACGUUGGCCCGGGACGUGGCCGUGGGAGGAGGAGCUAGACGGGAAAACAUCCCCUGACUCCACCCGCUGGGAGGAAGGACGCGCCAGCACCCGCACCGCCCAGGCCGCCUCGGAAGAGCUAGAACUGAGGCCCACCCUACCUCCCGGCCACCUCUAGACUCCGCGGAGCUAGGCGGCAGGGCAAGGCGAGAAAGCGGCGGCGGCUGGGCUGGGGAGCCCCUGGAAGAGCGCGUCACCACCUGCUGAGCUCCGCCCACCACCCGCUCCGUCAGGCUUCCGGAUGCAGUUGAGACUGAGCACACGUCAGGAACAGGUGUUCGGUGCACGCUGGGAUCUGCGGGAAUCGGUGCCCGGCCCCACCUGCAGCACAACCAGAAAAAAGCCCCCGUUGGUGGCAGGAAGAUGCUGCUGUCACAUGUGUCCAUCACCUCACAUGAUGAUUCAUGAAGAGUUUCCAUGCUCAUCUACCUCUGACUUAUUGAAAACUUUAAAGAACCUUUAAAGAUCCGAGAAUGUCAAUCAAUUGUCCAGAGUCACCUAUAUGACAGAUCUGGAAAUCAAAGUGCCAUCAUUUGGUGUCAGGUCCAUGUUUCAGUUCAUUUAUGUUUAAUGAAGAGUAGUGAUCUUUUGUGUGGCCGUUCACAGUUUGUUUAUCCAUUCACCAACUGAUGCAUAUUUGGAUAAUUUUCAGCCAUAAACAUUUAUAUACAGGUUUCUAUGUGUGGACAUAUAUCUUCACUCUCUUGGGUGAAUACCAAGGAGUGAAUGACAUUGCUGGAUCUCAUAAGAAGUGUAUGUUUAGCAUAAUAAGGAGCUGUCAUACUUUUUCAAAGUGGCCGUACCAUUUUUCAUUUCCAUCAGCAAUAUGUGAGGGGUCUAGUUGCUCUGCAUCUUCAUCUGAAUUUAAUGAUGUCAGGUUUUUCUACUUGAGCCAUCAUAUUGCUUUGUAAUGGUAUUACAUUUUAGUUUUAAUUUGAUUUUUCUAAUGUAUAAUAAUGAGUAUGUUUUUGUUUGUCAUCUGUUCCUUUUUGAUAAAGUGCCUAUUUGAUCUUUUCCUCAUCUUAAAAAGUUGUUUCUUACUGAUUUCAAGAGUUGUAUAUAUGCUACAAAGGUUUUUCCAAAGAUAAAUGAUUUGUAGAUACUUUC
Long non-coding RNA from Felis catus (domestic cat), 1147 nucleotides. RefSeq lists it as uncharacterized. The record is from RefSeq and is a predicted model, not a curated record. The transcript is spliced from 3 exons. NCBI's taxonomy places the organism in Eukaryota, Metazoa, Chordata, Mammalia, Carnivora, Felidae.